This 207-nucleotide ribosomal RNA is filed under the name uncultured bacterium. Its description in RNAcentral is "partial 16S ribosomal RNA". It matches the Rfam family "Bacterial small subunit ribosomal RNA", at positions 524 to 728 of the family's 1533-position model. The record is from RNAcentral.
UACAGAGGGUGCGAGCGUUGUCCGGAAUCACUGGGCGUAAAGGGCGCGUAGGUGGCAGGUAAGCGUGCGGUGAAAGCCCGGAGCUCAACUCCGGUCGGCCGUGCGAACUGCUCUGGCUCGAGCACUGGUAGAGGCAGGUGGAAUUCCGGGUGUAGCGGUGGAAUGCGUAGAGAGUCCGGAAGAACGACCGGUGGCGAAGGCGGCCUG